AUUUCCUUUUUAAGUGCCUACUUUACAUUUGUCAUGUUUGUCAUUUCUUUCUUGCCUCAGAAUAGGAAUAAAGAGGAUUUCCAGAGCUGCAAAUAUGAGGUUUGGCCCAUUCCUGGUCAAUAAGAUAAGAGGGUGAAUUUUCUCCAUGAGCUUUUCCUGAGUCCCAAGAUUCACAUCACCAGAAGGCUGUUUGAGAUGCACAAAUCCCAGGAAAUGAACAUAUCGAGGCAAAGGGAUCAGCCUCCCUUUCUACUUGGCCUGCCACUUUGUUGUAAUCAAGAGAUGCUAUAAAGUGGAAGUCUGGAUCAGCCAUAUAUAUAUUCCAACUGGAAAAGAGAUUCUCAUUCUCAGCCAUGCAUGUUUAGCACCGUUCUUCAAAUUACAACUUGUAGUUAUUUUUGAUAUAUGCCUGGUGGUUAUCCAGGCGUCCUCGGCCUCAAUUAUAUCCUUAACAUAGAAGCCAGAUCCAAAUAUAUGUGAUGUGAUAUGCAUUUAUACAAAGCAAAAAAGCAAUAAAUAAAUACAUAAUUUAAAAAAAAAAUGGCA
RNAcentral lists this long non-coding RNA (546 nucleotides) under Notechis scutatus (mainland tiger snake). RNAcentral's name for it is "lncRNA (ENSNSUG00000010263.1)". Lineage: Eukaryota; Metazoa; Chordata; Lepidosauria; Squamata; Elapidae. The record is from RNAcentral.